CCCAGAAGAGAAGGAAGACCAAGGAAAUUAUUUGCUCAGGAUGAGAAAUGAAGAUGGCCAUCUUGUGCUCAAACAAACAGAAGUCCUCUGAUGAUCUCAUCAGCCAAAUGAGGGGUUUUGACCAAGUGAUGCUCUUGAAAGGAGUGAAAGAAGAGGAUGUGGUAAAUUGUCUUAAAGCAGCUUGAAGAAUGGUCUGGGAUGUUAGGACUGAGAGAUCCUCUGACUGAGAGAAGCUACACCACAUCAGUGCUGGAUAUCAACCACAAACUGUUUCCAGACACGAGAGAAGAAGAUCAUGAUGGGGAGAUGAAACCAGUUUAGAUGUGAUGAUAAGGAAUCAUUAUUUUCUGAAACAGGAUCAAAUGUCUUAUAUGUAUCACAUGAUCUGUAUCACAGUUGACUGGAUGGGAUUGUGUGACUCUUUAAGUACAUUUCAUCACUCAUCUGUGUGAACUGAUUAAUAUAUAAGGUUAAUGUAUUUUUGAUUAUGAAUAAUUAUUUUCCUUGAAUCUUAUUUGUCUUGAUGCUACUUUAUCAUCUGUAUAGUCUAUGCUUCAAUAAAAUGAAAAUUGUGAAUAUUGUGUUCUGAAGAUUCUUGGUAAACACAUCAUUUUACUAGGUAGGCUCAUAUGUGUUUAUUUUAGACUUGGAAAAACUACAUAUUAAUUAUUGGGAUUAUUUUUUACUUAAGACAUACAAAUAUUUGAUCAGAUUAAUGACAUCUGGGACAUCAAUACACCAGAAAGUUAUUAUUGUUCAUAUUUAGUAACAAAUGCCAAUU
Cyprinus carpio carpio is the source of this 781-nucleotide long non-coding RNA. NCBI's taxonomy places the organism in Eukaryota, Metazoa, Chordata, Actinopteri, Cypriniformes, Cyprinidae. The record is from Ensembl.